AGAAGUAAGCAAGGGCAAACGGAGGAUGCCUUGGCUCUCGGAGGCGACGAAGGACGUGAUAAGCUGCGAAAAGCUGCGGGGAGGUGCAAAUAACCAUUGAUCCGUGGAUAUCCGAAUGGGGCAACCCGUUGAGUUGAAGACUCAACAUUCUUUAAUAAGAAGGCGAACGUGGGGAACUGAAACAUCUCAUUACCCAUAGGAGGAGAAAAUAACAAUGAUUUCGCAAGUAGUGGCGAGCGAACGCGAAAGAGCCCAAACCUAUGUUGUUUAGGCGAUAUAGGGGUUGUAGGACUGCGAUAUAAGAUGAUGAAUUGAAUCAGAAUCGUAAUGGAAAAUUGAGCGAGACAAGGUGAAAGCCCUGUAUGAGUAAGAUUCAUUGUUUUUAGCAGUAUCCUGAGUAGCGCGGGACACGAGAAAUCCUGUGUGAAUCAGCGGGGACCAUCCCGUAAGGCUAAAUACUCCCGAGAGACCGAUAGUGGACAAGUACCGUGAGGGAAAGGUGAAAAGAACCUCGAACAGAGGAGUGAAAUAGAACCUGAAACCGUUUGCUUACAAGCGGUCGGAGCAUCUUUUUAGGUGUGACGGCGUGCCUUUUGCAUAAUGAACCUACGAGUUACUGUCACCAGCGAGAUUAAGUGUUUUAGGCACGCAGUCGAAGGGAAACCGAGUCUUAACAGGGCGCAUAGUUGGUGGUAGUAGACGCGAAACCAAGUGAUCUACCCUUGAGCAGGUUGAAGUUGCCGUAACAGGUAAUGGAGGACCGAACCAGUUGACGUUGAAAAGUCUUUGGAUGACUUGAGGGUAGGGGUGAAAGGCUAAUCAAACUUGGAGAUAGCUCGUACUCCCCGAAAUGCAUUUAGGUGCAGCGUGCAAAAAGUUUAACAGAGGUAGAGCGACUGAUUGGAUGCGAGGCUUUCACCGGCUAUCAAGUUCAGACAAACUCCGAAUGCUGUUAAAUGCUUUUGUGCAGUGAGGGCACGGGUGCUAAGGUCCGUGUCCGAGAGGAGAAGAAUCCAGACCAUCAGCUAAGGUCCCGAAAUAAUAGCUAAGUUGAACUAACGAAGUCGAACUGCAUAGACAGCUAGGAUGUUGGCUUGGAAGCAGCCAUUCAUUUAAAGAGUGCGUAACAGCUCACUAGUCGAGCGGUUUGGCGUGGAUAAUAAUCGGGCAUAAGCUAUUUACCGAAGCUGUGGAAUAUAAUAUAUUGGUAGGGGGGCAUUCCAUAUUCGUUGAAGAUAGAGGGUUACCUUUAUUGGAGGGUAUGGAAAAGCAAAUGUAGGUAUAAGUAACGAUAAGGAGGGCGCGAACCCCUCCCGCCGGAAGACUGAGGGUUCCUGAACAACGUUAAUCGGUUCAGGGUUAGUCGGGACCUAAGGAGAAGCCGAAAGGCGCAUCUGAUGGAAGAACAGGUUAAUAAUCCUGUACUGGCGUAUGGAGCGAAGUGGGGACGGAGAAGUGAAAGUCCUGCGUACUGACGGAAUAGUACGUUGAAGGGUGUAGGUGUAGAUAUUCGUAGGCAAAUCCGCGGAUAGAGCCGAACCUGAAAGUACCGAGCGUCUUCGGACAAUCGGAUAUGGAUGUAAUCAGACUCCCUAGAAAAACCGCUAAGCAUAUUCAUACGGCACCCGUACCAUAAACGGACACACGUGGUCAAGUAUAGAGUAUUAAGGCGCUCGAGUGAUCCGCGGCUAAGGAACUAGGCAAAAUAGUCCUGUAACUUCGGAAAAAGGGACACCUACCCAGCGAUGGGAGGUCGCAGAAGAAUGGCCCAGGCGACUGUUUAACAAAAACAUAGGGCUUUGCCAAAUCGCAAGAUGAAGUAUAAGGCCUGACACCUGCCCGGUGCUGGAAGGUUAAGAGGAGAUGUCAUCGCAAGAGAAGCAUUGAAUUGAAGCCCCAGUAAACGGCGGCCGUAACUAUAACGGUCCUAAGGUAGCGAAAUUCCUUGUCGGGU
RNAcentral lists this ribosomal RNA (1954 nucleotides) under human metagenome. RNAcentral describes it as "bacterial LSU rRNA". It matches the Rfam family "Bacterial large subunit ribosomal RNA", at positions 1 to 1977 of the family's 2925-position model. The record is from RNAcentral.